This 474-nucleotide ribosomal RNA is filed under the name Gyratrix hermaphroditus. Its description in RNAcentral is "partial 16S ribosomal RNA". Lineage: Eukaryota; Metazoa; Platyhelminthes; Rhabdocoela; Polycystididae. The record is from RNAcentral.
UUUUUUCUAUAAUAGAAAAUAAAUUCUGCUAAUUGUUUAGUUAUAUUUUUUAUAAUUUUAACUAAAUGAAAAGCCGCAGUAUAUUGACUGUGCUAAGGUAGCAUAAUUACUUGUUAGCUAAAUACUAAAUUGUUUGAAGGAGUUAAUGAAAAAUUUGAUAUGUAUUAAAUCAAAUUUAAUUUUUCUUUUUAGUAAAAAAACUAAAUUUGUGUUUAAUUAAGACGAGAAGACCCUAAAAAGUUUUAGUAUAAAUUAAUAACUUUACUUUAAAUAGGGCAUUUUUAAAUUAUUAAAUUUAAUUUUUAUCAUUAUUUUUAAUUAGUAUAAAUUAAAUUACUUUAGGGAUAACAGAAUAAAUUUUAUUUUAAGAACUUAUUUUUAUAAUAAUUAAUUUCACCUCGAUGUUGAAUCAAAUUAUCUUAUUUAGGAAGAAUUAAAUUUUAAGUUAACCUGUUCGGUUAUUAAAAAUUUACG